This is a long non-coding RNA of Papaver somniferum (opium poppy), 2164 nucleotides long. RefSeq lists it as uncharacterized. Lineage: Eukaryota; Viridiplantae; Streptophyta; Magnoliopsida; Ranunculales; Papaveraceae. The transcript is spliced from 11 exons. The record is from RefSeq and is a predicted model, not a curated record.
GUCUCUUUCUUCUCCACUGUCUCUUCUUUUUCACUGCGCCUCCCCACCACCACCAUCUUUAUUUCACAGUGUGUUGCUAGUGCUCCCUAGAGGUUGAAGAUAAUUAGAUCGAGUUUUUGAAGUUGAUAGUUAUUUAAAGUUUGAUUUUGAAAUCAGUUGAAGGUGGAUCUGUGAGAUAGAGAUGCAAUCGAGAUGGUAAUAAAGUGAAUCUGAGAAGAAAAGAAGGGAAAUGAAGGAGGGUUGUUGCUGCUACAGCCUACAGAAUGACUUUCUAUAGAGUCAAGACCUUAAAUCUCUUCUUUAACCUCUUACUAAUGUUCUCCCUAGAGGUCAAAAACUCAUCUUCAAAGGGAAAGUUUUGGAGGACACCAUGAAAUUGAAAUCACAAAUCGAUCUAAGCGAUCUAAGCUUAUGCAUGGCUUCUCAGGGUUUUUACAUCAAGGGGUAAUGCUAAAGGAUUAAUGGAUGGUAAGGUUGAGGCAGCAAGUUUUGUUGGAAUAGGGUAAUGGUUUGGCCGUUUGAAGGUUGUUGUGAAGGUUUUAUAGGAAUCUGAGGAAGAGGAGUAUAGAUUUGUUGAAGAAUGGAUAGUUGUGUCGUAGUAAUUUGGUUUUUGGGUUGGAUGAAUCAUUAAGAUGAACCCAUAAAAUGUUGGACUCAAACAACUACAGCCGACUAAGAUCUGACAGUAACAACUAUUAUACAUUGUUGCUCUUUUUUGACUAAAAGAUCUCGCUGUUGUAGUUCGAUUUUAGCAGUUGGAGCAGGACCUUUACUCAGCUGGUUUGAUUUGAAUGAGAUGACACACUCAUAGAUUCAGUGUGCCCCACAAUCAGCAUUUUCUAUUUCCCUUCAUCCAUUGGGUGUAAUGGCAGUCGGAGGCUUUGGAGAUCUCGUGGAUGUCAUAUCUCAGUUCAGAAGUCAUUUGUGCACGUUUUGUUGUAGAGGUCACUGAACUCCUUGCUUUCGUAUGCACUCACAGACUAGGGUGAUCAUUGUAAAAGUAGUGAUUAUGACGAGUUAGAGCAAUUGAUCUCUCCUACUUCCACCCACCGCGACGGCACAAAAAGAUAAGUGCUUCACAUCUUCUAUUUUUCCUAUUUGAAAGUUAAUAAUGUUGUUUAACACUCUGAUCUUGUACACUGUAUCAGGCGAGAGUUGGUAUGGGCUGAACUGGGCUAGUUGCUCCUCUAUAAAAAUGAUUAAACUAGUGUUUUGACCCCCUUACACUGCUGUUGUACAUAAUCUAGGGUAGUAUUCUACGAUUCUGCUUAUGAAUCUCUACAAGACGAUAACCAAAGAAAGGCAAAUGGCCUUGCUGUAUGAUUCACGGCACCUAUGCAUAUGUUUCAGCUGCUCAAGAUCCUAACAUGUAUUCUAACCAAGGCUAUGGGGGUAUUGGAUAUGGUAACUAUCAAUAGCACCAACAUCAGAUAGUCAGACUCAAUGUGGUGGGCAGAUGAAAGCUAUAUUUUUCAAGUAAAGAAGAGGUUGGUGUGUGAUAACAUAAGUGGUAAAGGGAAGCUAUUCCAUUUCAUGCCUCAAAUCUAGUUGAUGCUCAUCCAAUUUUAGUCUCAUACAAGUUCAAAGUCUAAUCCUUUACAUGCACAUCAAACAUCCACCCGUUGUGUCGUUGCUUCACAACCACCUGCCUUCCGCCUUAGAGUGAGAGGAAGAGAACGACGUUCUUUGUCGUAUGUGAACCAGAGACACAAAACAUGGAUGCUCUACUUGACAAUUCACACACAUAGAUAUCCACGUUGGGAAAUCUGAGUUAGCUCUUUCAAUAUUAGCAGUGCAAUUAAACAUGUGAGUUAAUUAAACCAAGUAGCUCGGCCAACCAAUGAGCCGGGGCUUCCAAUCGCCGGGAGAGGGGCUGGGUCAGGAUAUCUUGAUCCAGACAUCAUCUGACCACCUUGCUGUUUCCUUUUCUUGGAACUAUUUUGUUCCGCCGACUGCUCAGUACGACCCAUGGCUGCACCCUGAUAAACAAGAUCGACGAUGUAAUGAAUCAUUCUCCAGUGGAACAAUUCGAAGAUGAAAACUGAAGUGUACAAUAUCUUACCUGAACACUUGAACUGGAAAAAGAAUGUCGGGGACUCAACGCCUCACCAAUCUGUAAACCUACAGCAAAAAAAAAUAAAUGAGAGAAGUUUUCAAUGAUAAA